Molecule: ribosomal RNA, 197 nt
Filed under: uncultured bacterium
Lineage: Bacteria
Description: partial 16S ribosomal RNA
Rfam family: Bacterial small subunit ribosomal RNA
Source: RNAcentral
ACUCCUACGGGAGGCAGCAGUCGAGGAUUUUUCUCAAUGGGGGCAACCCUGAAGGAGCGACGCCGCGUGGAGGAUGAAGGGCUUCGGCUUGUAAACUCCUGUCACCGACGAACAAGGCAUCCGGUUGAACAUUCCGGGUGAUUGAUGGUAGUCGGAGAGGAAGGGGCGGCUAACUCUGUGCCAGCAGCCGCGGUAAU